Molecule: long non-coding RNA, 9858 nt
Filed under: Triticum aestivum (bread wheat)
Lineage: Eukaryota; Viridiplantae; Streptophyta; Magnoliopsida; Poales; Poaceae
Description: long non-coding RNA (TAES_LNC023739)
Rfam family: MIR1120/MIR1122 microRNA precursor family (bases 3959-4073)
Source: RNAcentral
UCUCAUGGAUGGACCGUAAGAUACAAAAGCGAAGACGCAGCUGCUGUGAAGAGCGCCGAGGAAGCCUUGGCGGACAUGGUUGACUGGUUUAACAAGAACCUCAAGUAAACCUAAUGAAUUAGCGGCCAUCCUUUUGUAAUAAGCCAGUGUCACUCUUCAGGAGUCAUCACGCGAGCACCCACGGUUUAUGUUAUGGUCUUAGCUAUAUAGCCUAUAGCGCAUGCAUCUUUGUCUGCCGCAGGUCUGCUGGUAUGUGUGUGAUUGCUCGUAUCGGGGUCUGCUUGUGCUGAACAUUGAACUACUGCACUCAAAUAAAAUGUGGUAUUUGCAGUUUGUGAGUUGGCACCUCCCUGGUUACUUUCUUUUUUGUUUGGUGUUGGGGAUGAAAGGACAGAUCGUUACAACCCGGUUUAUUCCUUAUUCCAAUAUAAUUUUAGAGAGAUGCGGGCUGACGCCAUGGGUCAUCCGGCUGAUCAGAUCGGCUGGGUCGGCACCCGUUUGAUCUGUCCCAGACAUCCUUAGGAUGAUUGCAAAACGGACCAUGUUGUGGGCACCCAUAGCAAGGCGCGCCAUGUUGGGGUCAUCAUGUUGUUGGCACCCAUUGCAAGGUGGGCCAUGUUGCGGUCACCUUUAGCUUGUGUGACAUUGCAUUACGUGGGGAGUCCCAAUAUAGAAGCGACAUUUUCUUGCCGACACAUGCCUGACAUGCCAAAUCAAGCCGUUGAUGCAUGGGAUGUAAGUGCAGCCGUGCAUUCGAUUUAGCAUCAUGCACAUAUCGGGUGCAUUCGGUUUAGCAUCAUGCACAUAUCGGACGAGGGAGGAUCGUUCGCACAGUAGUUUCGUGCAAUAUGGGUCAUGUUGCGGUGACCCAUUGCAACGUGGACGAUGUUGCGAACCCACUGUCCCAUCACCAUCACCACAGCCUUCCUCACCACAACAUCAUCCAUCUUGAGUUGUUGCCACCACGACAUCAUCUAUGUUGCAGGCGAUGAUCACGAAAUCCGGCGUCUAUGGUCGCAGCUCCGCUGCCCGAGGCUCGUAGCACGACCUCUGGCAACAGGGACAUGGCGAUUUUGCAGCAGCGAGAUCAAGGUCAUGGGGACAAUCUCUUCCUCACUUUUCACUAGGGUGCACAUGGACGUUGUAACAUCCAUGACGGGAUCAGGAGGUCGGAAAGUAGGGGAUUCAUGGCCGGCUCAAAGAAGGUAGGAGAAGAGGACCCCUGGUAGGAGAAAUGGGAUCGGGGGAACAUGUGGUUGUGCUCGCUUCGGUUGGCGAUAAGGUGAAACGGAUAGGGGUGUGCGGGGUCCACGGGGGCACGUGGCAACAUAGGAGGAAGCCGGCGCGUGAGAUGUUUUCCGUCGGUUGUUCCCAGCCGUUUCCCAUUUCUCUAUGGCUGGCGCCGGCGGCACUGCCCUCGCCGGUCGCUACCGCCACAUGAAGCAAAGCUACAGACGAAAUCAGUAUUGGGUCAGCAGUGAGGUCACCCGUCACCACCUGCCUGGAGCAAACAAAUGAAAGGCCCACCCGUAAAAAAACAAAAAACAAAACAAAGGAAAGGCCCAACCAAAAAAGCCUCCAACCUCUCCACGAACAGAUUCGAAACAUAAACACCCCGCAGUCACCUCCGUCGGCUCUCGGCUGGCCUGGUUCCCAACCCCAACCACCAGGCACCAGCAGCAGCCUCGGCAGGAUGGCUAGCCCGCAGUGCUGCGCGGACCCGCCGACGCUCGACCCCGCCGGCGGGGAGGGCAGGGUCGUCGACAGCUUCGGCGGGAUCACGGCGUACGUCGCCGGCGCCCGAGAGUCCAAGGCCGCUGUCAUCCUCGUCUCCGAUAUCUUCGGUAAACCCCGUCCUUGACAGGAACCCUUGUCUUCUCAUAACCCGAAUUCUCUUAUGUCAUAACAGCGCUUCGCGUCUUCCCCUUGCAGGGUUUGAAGCACCGAAUCUGAGGUACACACUUUUGUGCUCUCUGACAUUACGACUCUGUUUUGCACCUACUCCCUCCUCCGUUUCUAAAUAUAAAUCUUUGUAGAAAUUCCUCUGUGAACUACGUACAUACGGAGCGAAAUGAGUGAAUCUACACUCUAAAAUGCAUCUAUAUACAUCCGUAUGUGAUCCGUAGUGAAAUCUCUACAAAGACUUAUGUUUAGGAACGGGGGCAGUACAUCUUUUGGUUUAGCAACGACAUGUCUGUAGGCUCUGUUCAUCACGCCGUAAUAGUGAGUUGUGAUGGUAUUGCUUUCCCACUGCCGUUUUUGUGUCAUGCAUAUUGUUCAGAACUUGGCAAUUUUAGUCCUCGGAGGCCUUCGUCUAAUAAGGAGUAAUUCUUGGUGAGAUUUUAUGGCUGAGAUUUUGGCCUGGCUAUUAAACCUUGAAGAGCUCUUAGUGGACUUUUUGUUUUAUGAUGAACUAUGACCUCUACUUUAGUUUGUCACAACCAACAAGUGUUAGCUAUGAUGGAGUUCUGAUGUAGUUUCUUUCCCCAUGAAGGAAGAUAACCGAUAAAGUUGCUUCGUCUGGAUAUUUUGUUGUGGUGCCAGAUUUCUUACAUGGGGAUCCAUAUGUACCUGAAAACGCUGACAGGCCGAUACAAGUGUGGUUAAAAGAACAUGCUCCGGUUUGUUGUCUCCUGAUUCCCGCAAACCUUGUUCCUUUUAUUUUCUUGUAAAUGUUCAGGUCACCUUUGCUUUAGUUUAUGUUUAUUAAGGUAUAUGUUCCAAAAGCUUUCCAGUUUCCAUCGCAUGAGGUUGCUGGCCUUGGUACUUUGAUUCACACACUGUUAACUAAGUAACCAAGGGUGAGAAGUGAUGGUAAAACCAAUAUCCAAACCUAACAACAUGUAUAUGAAAGCAUGCUAUGAAUUUGUAAGAAUAUAUGUAGGCCCCUGUGUAGCUGUUGCCUGAGGGUGAAGACACACUUAUUUUUUUUAAAUGGAGUUGAUUUGCACUUCUGAAGUUAGUUCUCUGACAAGUAUUUCCGGACAGAGGGAGUAUAAACGAAUGAAUUGUUCCUUUAUACAGGGAAAAGCAUUUGAAGAGGCAAAACCUGUUAUUGCUGCUCUAAAAGAACAAGGAGUAUCUACUGUUGGGGCUGCAGGUUAUUGUUGGGGUGGUAAGCACAGUUUUGUUUUAUUACAUCUGAACCCAAAUUAUAAGGUUUAACCUGCUAAGCAUUAUGCUUCUUUUCCUUACAUAUCAGCAAAGGGAGUUGCAGAGUUAGCGAAAGCUAAUGAGAUACAGGCAGCUGUUAUGUCACACCCUUCUUUUGUUACUGUUGACGAUAUCGAAGGUAAGAUAUCUUCCUCGAGAAUUCAAGAUACAUACUUAACAUUGUUCCAUUUGAAAGGCUUCAGAUUCUUACUCUAUGACAUGUGCUAUAUUUCAGAGGUGAAAUGCCCCAUCGCUAUACUUGGAGCUGAAACUGACAAAACAUCCCCACCAGAAUUGGUCAAGCAGUUCGAGCAGGUUCUAUCCUCUUCUAACUCUGGGGUAAGUUCUCAUUUCGGGCAACCAGUUCUUCAAAUCAACUAUGAUGUUGUCUAGGUAUGGAAUAUGUGAUAUAACUAAGUUGUCAAAUUUGAAAAUGGCUCAGUGCCAAGCUGUAUCUGAUUAGUAUACUGUUUGACUGUUCCAGCAUAAUGUGUUGCUACUUCCUCCCAUUCUAAUUAGCUUUUGACAUCAGAGGAGCGGACAAUCAUCUUUUCUUUUAAAUAAGGGCCAACUAGCCUUAUGCAAUAUUUUACUCCCUCCGUUCCAAAUUACUCGUCGUGGUUUUAGUUCAAAUUUGUACUAAAACCACGACGAGUAAUUUGGAACGGAGGGAGUACUUUAUGAGUCACUGGACCUACCAGCAUUUUAUAGUACUAGCUAUUAUCCAUGUGAAUGACUAGUUUCUUCGAAGUAAGAAGGUAUUAUCUUUAUAUUCACCCGAAAGUGUAGUAUCAUGAAGAAUUAGGAAAUACUCCCUCCGUUCCGAAUUACUUGUCGCAGGUAUGGAUGUAUCUAGAUGUAUUUUAGUUCUAGAUACAUUCAUUUCUGCGACGAGUAAUUUGGAACAGAGGGAGUAGAUGUUACAGAUUGAGAAAAAGCAACCAGAAAGUACAGUAGAAUGUAGGCAAAUUGGAGACACACAUUAUUGGUACGAUAUUGUUGCAGAACUGGAGCUCAAAAUCUUUCAUCCGUCCUCAUCCUGAUAUGGUCUUUUAUGAACCUACAGAUUGCUCACUUUGUCAAGAUUUUCCCUGGGGUUUCUCAUGGAUGGACUGUGAGAUACAAAAGUGAAGACGCAGGUGCUGUGAAGAGUGCCGAGGAAGCCCUGUCAGACAUGAUCGACUGGUUUAACAAGAACCUAAAGUGAACCUGAAUUAGCGUCCUUUUUUCUUAAUAGGCCAGUGUCACUCUUCACCAGUCAUCACGCAAUCAUCCAGGGUUUAUGUUAUGGUCCGCAUCGUUGGUCGUCUGCAGGUGUCUGUCCUGUGCAGUAUGUACUGUGUGCUUGCUCAUAUCAGUCUCUGCUUGUGCUGAACACAUUACUAUAAUACUAUAGCACUGAAAUAAAAUGCGAUAUUUGUAGUUUUGAGAGUUGGACCACUUGUCUCGUUGUCUUUAUGUAACUUGUGUGGUGAUUGUUGUUGGCUCUGCCCACUCCAAAGCUGUGGGCCGCUGCCCACUGCCGUCAUCUCCAACACCUCCGGUAAGACGACUGGUCGAGUUAACUGGCCAAUCUCCAACACCUGCAGCGUUCCAGACUCUAGUGCCUAUAAAGUAUGUAUACCGAGAACCAUUUUAUCUUUGCAGCGUUCGAUGUGCCGAAACUGAGAUACACUGUGAAUUUAUCUUCUCGUGAGAGUUACCAUUCUGAAAUGGUUGCAUUUGCAUGUUAUUUCCUUUGCAUCUCCUUCAACAUGGAGCAGUUACUUAAUUUUGUCAAUGGUGUAGCAAUAGCUUAACACUGAUAAAGCCGACGAGUCUGCAUGUAGAAACGGUGACCAUCCUGACAGCCAUACAGCCACGUAGUAGAUGGUGUUGAUGAAACAUAUUUCUUAUGAGAAGGAAAGGGAGCUGGAAUUACAGAAUGGUAAUCUGUGUUUGUAGUCUGUUUGUAGUUUUCAGUUCAGAUUUGGCUCCCCUUGUCUGCUUCAAACCUUCAUAUUUGUUUAACAUAAUAGGACAUUUGCAUUUGCUUGCAUACAUAUCAGCAAAAGAAUGGAAUGCAUAAGUAAAUUUUCAACAUGAUGAAGAAAUGCUGAGCUCAUUAAUCUCAAUGCUGGAAAAUUAGAUCGGCAAUGGUCUAGAACUGUGCUUCUAUGCUCUUUUCUCUUUAUGGAAGUUUAUUUAUCUUAAGCUAGCGCUAUCCUCAUGGGAUUGCCAGUAAUGCUAAAUGUCUAUCUGAUGGAGGAAGAUAGCGGACAAGGUUGCUUUGUCUGGUUACUUUGAUAUAUAGUGCUAGAUUCCCUGCAUGGGGAUUCAUACCAGCUCAACAGUCCUAACAAUCCUGGAAUGUGGGUACAGGCACAUAGUUCAUUUUUUGUUUCUUGAGAUUAUCCUUUUUUAUUUAAGUUUCCUGGGUAACUUUUUUCUGUUUUUUCUGAAGUUUUUUGUGGAAAUCUAUACAGCUUUCAUGUCACAGUCUUCCUAGCCUAACUAAGUACUCUGUUUCAAACAUUGACAUCAGUCAACUCUAUAGAAAUUAUUGAAAAAACUUCUGAUCCAGACCUGAAAAAUGGCAUAAUGAGCAUUUUUUUUACAAUAACUGCAUGAGAUGACAUUCUAAUCUUUCGGUAGUUCAAUAUUUCUGUUCAGUACCUGACAAUAUUAGUAAUAACGCUAUGUACCUUAGGAGCUUCUACACUUGGCAUUUCAGAUACGUAAGCAACUGCUAUUGUGCACCUGAAAGUUAGUUUGUUUUUUAAAGGAAGAAGGUACAUAUACUCUUUAACUUGUACUCGUAUUUACCAAUUCUCUUUGUCUGAUAGCACGCCGUCGUUGACUACUCCAUCACCCAGGUGUGCAAGGGGAGAAAAAGAGGUGCACAAGAGCAGCCUUGGUCCGGGUCAAAACAGUUUUCCUUUUGAUAAUUAUCUGUUGGUGUAUGAUCGACCACUUGAUAAGCAGCAGCAAUUUUUCCUUUUAACAGCAGGUGGAUCUGAAGGCAAAACUAAUUAAGCCCUGUUUUUCUGUUUAUUUUUUUACUUGGGCAUGGGGCAACCAAAUAAGAUCGGUAGAUGACUGUUACGGUUGGUGAAGAUGGCACUCAAAUCUUACCUACCGUUCUACAUCGUCAAGAUUCCCUGCCCCUGCUGUCAGUUCCUCCUGGUACCUGCAUUUUCAAGAUGUUCCUAUAAUUAUCUGCUCUGCUCUGGGUAUGGUUGAUCUACUCAUCUAAUUAAGCUCGGCAUGGAUUGCCUGGCAUAUCAUUUGUUGAAACAUACUAGAUGACCCGUUGCGUCGAUGGCGCAAAGGGCAAGUGCACACCAAGCAUUCAAACCAUGCACAUAAGAAUAUUUACACACCAAGUCAAUUCAUGUCAGUGGCGAACUAGUUGACGGUGGCCGCGACGCCGAGUCCGAUGGCGGCGUGGCAAACUUGUUGCUUGCGACACACGAGAAGGACGAAGGAUGCUCGAACUGCCCUGGUGUGAAGCUGCAUCUGACCCGAAUGUUGUCUGGUUGUUCCGGCAUUACAUCUUUCUAUUUCCUUCCAUCUUAUAUUAUGGGACGGAGGGAGUACAUAAUUUGCCUUUUGAUGUUAGAGCGGUCCAGUAUACUAUUAUGGUUGUAAUACAUCAGACAUUUUGCAAUUAAGAGCCAUCCAGCCUUCACGGCUUUUACUUUAUGAUCCCCUGGGCAACCUUAGGGCCUGCUUGGAUCCAAGGGACUAUUUUUAGUCUGACUAAAAAUAGUCUCUUUUAGAGGCUAAAGUUCCAAGCACCCCUGACUAAAGAGAGGCUAGAACUAGUCUUGAGGCUAAAACUUUUUAGUCACAUGAAACCUACUAAAAUAUGUAUUAGCCCUCUCUCUCCUCAUUUAAUUCCUCUUCUUUAGCACAUGCGAGUUCUGGAUUGGAUGGUUUGGAGGAUAAUAAAUGCUCAAUAACUUCAUUUUAGUCUCUUUAGUAUUUGGAUCCAAGCAUGGGUGAGGCUAGCAAGUUUUAGUCCCACUACUUUUAGUCAUGGGACUAAAACGUAUCCAAGCACCCUCUUAGCAUUUUAUAGUCACAAGCUAGUGUUAUUAUCCAUCUUUGCAUCUUGUUUCUUGAAAGUAAGAAGGUAUUCUAUCUAAUAUUCACUAGUGAAGACAACAUGCCAGGGCCUUCACGUUGGGGAAGGAAAGAAACAGCCCCCGCGUCGUCCCCCCGGCGGGCGACUCGGGCGGCGGCGCGGCUUCCCUCCUCCUCUUCCCCUCCCCACCCUCCCCCGCCCUCGCCGCCGCCCGCAGCCGCUGGGGCAAAGCCCCUCGCGGUGGCUGGCGGCGGGGCCCCUUUCUCCGCCGCGCGGGGUUGGCCGGUGCGGGGCGGCUUGGUCUGGUGGUGGCGCCGGGCAUUCGUGGGGCUCGGUGGUGCGGCGGUGGNNNNNNNNNNNNNNNNNNNNNNNNNNNNNNNNNNNNNNNNNNNNNNNNNNNNNNNNNNNNNNNNNNNNNNNNNNNNNNNNNNNNNNNNNNNNNNNNNNNNNNNNNNNNNNNNNNNNNNNNNNNNNNNNNNNNNNNNNNNNNNNNNNNNNNNNNNNNNNNNNNNNNNNNNNNNNNNNNNNNNNNNNNNNNNNNNNNNNNNNNNNNNNNNNNNNNNNNNNNNNNNNNNNNNNNNNNNNNNNNNNNNNNNNNNNNNNNNNNNNNNNNNNNNNNNNNNNNNNNNNNNNNNNNNNNNNNNNNNNNNNNNNNNNNNNNNNNNNNNNNNNNNNNNNNNNNNNNNNNNNNNNNNNNNNNNNNNNNNNNNNNNNNNNNNNNNNNNNNNNNNNNNNNNNNNNNNNNNNNNNNNNNNNNNNNNNNNNNNNNNNNNNNNNNNGGCUGCGUGCCCGUGGUGGCGGCGGUGGUUCGGAUCUGGCCACGGGCUGCUGCGGGCAGAUCUGGUGGAUCCCUUCUCUACGUGCUCUGGCUCGGCCUCCCUCUCCUCUCGGUCGGGGUCGGAGGUGGGUGGAGCUGGUGGAGGUGGGGGCGUGCCGGCCGGAUCUGACGCGACAUUUUCGAUAGACGGCGCGGGUUGGGGCAGCGGCCGGGCGUGGCUGUAGCUCCGGCCGUGGGCGGCGGCGCGAGGAGGUCCGGGGGUGGUGGCCUCCCGGUGGCGCGGCGGCUACACGGUGGCCGGCGGCUCUGGCCGCGGCGUCGGCUCGUCUGCAGUCAGGUCGUUUCGACCUUUGCUUCACCUCCUCGUUGUCCGGGCUCUGCUUGCAUCGAAAGGCUGGCCCGCUCCCAGCUAUCGACCAUCGCUCGUCUCACGCCCGGUGCCGCGGGACCGAGCUCGUCUUGCGCCUGGCGGCAAUAUCGAGCUCGUCUCGCGCCCGGUGCCGCGGGACCGAGCUCGUCUUGCGCCCGGCGGCAAGAUCGAGCUCGUCUCGCGCCCGGUGCUGCAGGACAGGCGAUGGUGGCCUGUAGUGGCCGGCCUAUUGGGUCUCGACGCUGGGGUCGCUCAGGGGUGUGAAAGGCCGGACCUUUCCACUCAUCUCUUUGGUUGAGUAGCGAUGAGUCUCGGGUGAGGUGGUGUCUUGGUCUUGGAUGCCGGGGCAGUGGCCUUGGUGGUGGUAGCGCGGUGCUCAUGGGCAGAGCCCGUGGCUUGGUGCUGUCCGGCUGCCAUGGCCGUGUGGGCGACGUGGUGGCCGGGGUGUGGCGUUCGGUGGCGGUGAGUGUUGGCCGGGGUGAAAACCUGUUCUAUCCUCGGACGGACCGGCGAUGGCGAAGCUCGUUCCCUUCUUGAAGGCGUCGUCGCGGCUCUCAUUGCCCGUUGUGUUGCUCCAGGGGAAACUCUGACCCUCUGGUCGGGUGGCGGCGGCGUCGCUCCAGUGUCGUAUCCUUUCUGAAGGCGCCGCCUUGGAGUUCACGGUUCGUCGUAUGCGGCUUCAUCUCUUCGUAGAUAGGGGUGGUGUUGUUGCGCUCAGCGCCUAUGUAUCUUGCCUUGGGUGUGUGCGUGUGUGGUGGCGUGAGUUUGUACCAUUGUGUUGAUGAUCUUUGCUUUAUGUAUAAAGUGAGGCGAAAGCCUUUUUCGGUAAUAUUCACUAGUAUUAUAAGUAUCGUGAUAAAUAAAAGGAAAAAGGUGUAAUAAUCUCUGAAUUUUUUCACAAAGUACAGUAGAAUGUGCAUAAAUUGGAGACACAUUAUUGUUUGAGAACUGGAGCUCAAGAUCUUCCAUCCUGAAUUCCUGAUAUGAUUUCUUAUGGACCUACAGAUUGCUCACUUUGUCAAGAUCUUCCCUGGGGUUUCUCAUGGAUGGACCGUGAGAUACAAAAGCGAAGACGCAGCUGCUGUGAAGAGCGCCGAGGAAGCCCUGGCGGACAUGGUUGACUGGUUUAACAAGAACCUCAAGUAAACCUAAUGAAUUAGCGGCCAUCCUUUUGUAAUAAGCCAGUGUCACUCUUCAGGAGUCAUCACGCGAGCACCCACGGUUUAUGUUAUGGUCUUAGCUAUAUAGCCUAUAGCGCAUGCAUCUUUGUCUGCCGCAGGUCUGCUGGUAUGUGUGUGAUUGCUCGUAUCGGGGUCUGCUUGUGCUGAACAUUGAACUACUGCACUCAAAUAAAAUGUGGUAUUUGCAGUUUGUGAGCUGGCACCUCCCUGGUUACUUUCUUUUUUGUUUGGUGUUGGGGAUGAAAGGACAGAUCGUUACAACCCGGUUUAUUCCUUACUAGAAAAAGUGCCCGUGCGUUUCAACGGG